Molecule: long non-coding RNA, 300 nt
Organism: Ailuropoda melanoleuca (giant panda)
Lineage: Eukaryota; Metazoa; Chordata; Mammalia; Carnivora; Ursidae
Exons: 3
Source: RefSeq, a predicted model, not a curated record
GCAGGGUUAGGCCCGCUUUGGCAGGGCCUUUCCCCUUCCUGGGCCUGUGCGGUGGAAGCGACAUGGACGAGGCUGGACUGAGGCACUGACUGGCACUGCCCGGAGUAAAGGCAAGGGGAGGGGAUGAUCCUACCCCCGGAUCUGGCUCAAGAGAGCCAAGCAGUGCCCCCCACCCCACUCAUCUCCACAGGCCCCGAGGGAGAAGGGAGUCUCACCCACCUUUCUUGGAGCGGCGGGGCUUGGGGGGAGGCCCAGCUGUGCGGGCUGUAGAGGACACAGAGGGACCAUUCCCUGAUCCAG